UACGGAGGGUGCGAGCGUUGUUCGGAUUCAUUGGGCGUAAAGGGUGCGUAGGCGGCGCGGUAAGUCGGAUGUGAAAUCUCGGAGCUUAACUUCGAAACUGCAUUCGAUACUGCCGUGCUUGAGGACUGGAGAGGAGACUGGAAUUUACGGUGUAGCGGUGAAAUGCGUAGAUAAUCGUAAGGAAGACCAGUGGCGAAGGCGGGUCUCUGGACAGUUCCUGACGCUGAGGCACGAAGGUCAGGGGAGCAAACGGG
RNAcentral lists this ribosomal RNA (254 nucleotides) under uncultured bacterium. RNAcentral describes it as "partial 16S ribosomal RNA". It matches the Rfam family "Bacterial small subunit ribosomal RNA", at positions 524 to 776 of the family's 1533-position model. The record is from RNAcentral.